This 253-nucleotide ribosomal RNA is filed under the name uncultured bacterium. RNAcentral's name for it is "partial 16S ribosomal RNA". It matches the Rfam family "Bacterial small subunit ribosomal RNA", at positions 524 to 776 of the family's 1533-position model. The record is from RNAcentral.
UACGUAGGGGGCAAGCGUUGUCCGGAUUUAUUGGGCGUAAAGAGCUCGUAGGCGGUUUGUCACGUCGGAUGUGAAAGCCCGGGGCUUAACCCCGGGUCUGCAUUCGAUACGGGCAGACUAGAGUGUGGUAGGGGAGAUCGGAAUUCCUGGUGUAGCGGUGAAAUGCGCAGAUAUCAGGAGGAACACCGGUGGCGAAGGCGGAUCUCUGGGCCAUUACUGACGCUGAGGAGCGAAAGCGUGGGGAGCGAACAGG